AACGGAAUAGAAUGUACUUCACUUUCCCUUUUUAUCUUGUUCAGAUCGAUAAAGAGGAAACGGUAGGUUGCGGUUCCUCUGACUGCCGAUACAGAGAGAUAGAUCUAGUUCAGUCUCCUCUCUCUCUCUCUCCGCCGGAAAUACCUCCUCGUGGCCAUCGUCGGCGCCACCGGACUUUUUCGUCGAACUUCGCCAGUGGAAUCGAAGCAGACACCGAUUUCAAAUUCGCUCAAGCUAUCUCUCUUACUUUCGGACGUGAAUAGCCUAGGCGCUCUGGCUUUGUCAUCCUCACGCCAAGCUCUGUUAGCAAUUUAGCAUCCUUUCGAUUGCAUCCGCUUGCCUUCAAGUGCAUACUAACAACAUCUUUCUUGUCCUCCAUAGCAUCCUUGGCGUGUUUUGAGAUAUGUGAUGUCACUCCAUUAUAUUUUGAAUAAGUGUCGGCCCGUUUCAUCGCAAGUUGAAGCAGUAUCACCCCAAAGGCAUAUAUGUCCAUGCAUGUCUGGUUUGUACCUGUUAAUUAAUUUAAAUUUUGUCUUGUGAGAGAGUGGCUCCAUGCAUUCAUCUAGAUUCAAAUUAUACAUUCAGGCCGUUUGGAGACGACAAGUAUUCAACAGACAGUAUGUGCAGAAGGAGACGUGAAAGCACUUCAGCUUUAUCAGUCACAAAGUUAGGUUAAGCUGUAGACUUUUGCAGCGCUUUCAUUUCGUCUCCAAGGAUUUGAAGCUGGAUAUUGCUUGGCGGGUUUGGAGAUCAUUUUAGCUUCAUCGAUCAUCUACACGGGUGUUCUUCACGAGUCUUUGACGACAACAAAGCUAUUAACGGCAUGCCUCCCAUGAAAACAACUGGAGUUGAAAAUUUCGUUGGCGGCUAAGAGCAAGGAGUUAUUUCUUUGGCAGUCGAGAAGUACGAGUGAGAGUCUUCAAACAAGUAUGCACAUGCCUUUCAAAUUUAAUCUAGACGGAUCUAAAAUGUAGACGUGUGUGUACACAUGUUGGUUAACUCCAAACUGACAUGUAGAGGCUAAGACGGAAGCUAUUGGGUUUGAGUAAACAUUCCGAAGAGGUAAGUUUGGUAUUCAGCUAUUUCGCCGAGUGGGGUGGACGUUGCUUAUUAAGAAACUCAUCUACGGACCAAAUGCAGUAAAUUUUGUCCCCUAUAGACAUCAAGCCAAAUCUCCCUAAUAUUAAUUGUGGUAAGCCGAACCCAACUUUGGUCAUGGGCUGAACCCAGAUAAACAAGAUGGCUGCCAAUCACACGAGGAGCAAGAGUUGGCUGGGCUGAGCCUGAUGCCCACACGCUCCAUUUGGGCCUGGCAGGGGUAACCUUGACCCACACCCUCUAAGACCGAGCACGGGUAAACGGUUAUGGGUCAGGCAUAAGCCCAACCGUGGAGUUGAGCUAUGCAGUAGUAACUGAAGGGCUCCAAAAGGAUCUCAGACCUUCUGGGCACGUGGACACCGACUAUGUGAGUGAUUUUAGCGUGACGGCAUAACUGAAGCGGGUAUGGGUGACGUCAUGGGGAGCAAGUACGCCUGCCUAAAAGUACUAGAGGAUAAACCUUAGGAGAGGGGCGUACGGCUAUCCACAGUCUUAUGCCUUGUGUGCAGGUCUUCCAAAGGUGGAGUGAGGAGAGCAGUUCGGAUCCGAAAAGAGUUCCUAGAAACCACCACCCGCAGUAAUCAUCGUAUCAUGCUCUUUGUUUUAACACUAUGCUAACUGCCUAAACAUUCUAAUCACCAUAAGAAAACAUUCAAAAAAGAACAUUAAUAAUGGCAACUUACGCAAUAGCUUUCAUCCAUGUAAUUAUACUAGUUACUAAACAGUGGCAUGUUAAGUUUAUUAAACUCAAACUGUCAUAAGCAUUUGCUCAGAUAAACAUGAACUCAUCCUAACUACAAUAGACUAAUUAUGUUAACUUACACAAAGCAAAAAUCACUUAUUUAAUCAUGCUAAUUAUGCGGCAUCUUUACAAUUAACACGUCCCAUUUAAUUAUGCUUAUAAUUGAACAAUAGAUAAGGACGUUAAAACUUAUUCUGAUGGCAAAAUGCUAUAAGAGUAGAGUGGUCAAUUAGUCUCCACAUAACAAACAUGUAGGAAUCAUCUUGUCACGGUCUCAGAAGCAUGCAAGUUCCUCAAACUUGGUGUCCUUAGGUUCAUCGACUUGUAAACAUGUUAAGCAUGUUGUUCAAGACUAGUACAUAACCAUACAAAGUGAUGAUCCUAAUGGAAUGGAGUCAUGUCUAUAUCGAAUACCAAUAGUCCUGAGAUUCUAGCGCAUAGUAUCUGAUACUUAUUGAAUUUUCGUAUGUACCCGAUACACAAUUUUUUCAUUUCAAAUGAAGGAGUAUCAGUUACUUUCCGAUAUUAGUUACACAUCCAAAUUUUAUGAAAUUGAGAUUGUGAUAUUUGCUCCAUAGAUGAGUGCAUCCUGGUGUAGACAGAUUAAAGAAAAGUUUCUGGACAGAUAACUUAGUGUUUUAGUAAUCUGUAGAUGAACAAAACAGUAAGAUUGAAGUAAUAUCCUAUUUUUCCAUAAUUUGUCGAAUUGACGAAUUCUAUAAUGUCACAUGUGUUUGUAUCCCAUAGGCUGGCUAAUGGUGGUUCUAAUAUUAAAAGACGUCUUUUUGUCAUCUGUAUCCUACUUUUUGAAGUUUUUGGCGUAUCUGGGUAUGCAUAUCGUGUCAUUACUGUAUCCUAUAUCCGUGUCCAUUCUUCAUACAUGUGAAAGUAGUGUGACCUUGCUCGGUGCCUAACCAUUACAAGGCUUGUGCGGGCAUACAAACCGUAUAAAGCAUAUAGUUCAAUGAACCUGCCAGACAAUGCAAGCAUGUUAUUUAUUAGGCCAAUGUCUCCUACCAAAGCACGUGGCAAUGAAAUCAGCUAGGAAUGUUAACAACCAACCAAGUAAGCACGCAUGCUAUCUAGUUGAAAAUAAUGGAAACUUGAUAAGUUAUUCACCUCCGUAUUCAAAGGGAUGACAGUGUGGGCCCCUAAUUGACAUUAUGGAAAACUGGGCCAGAUUUAUUGUAUCCAACGGUUGCCUAUUUUCUAAGUUCAAGCGUGACCAACCCCCCUCUCUCUCUCUCUCUCUCUCAUAGAAGGGAAACGUUAACCCACAACUUUCUCUACCAUCCAUCCUUCACUGCCUCUCCCAUCACUACCACUCCCAACCCAGAUCACCGCCUCCUUUUUUGUCUGGCUUAUCCCCUUCGUCUCAUCCCUUGCUUCUACCCCUAUCCAUUUGCCGCUUCACAUAGCUGACAAGAACUUAACUGCAUUUGCCACUUCUCAUAGAGGGAGAGUGCCACCAGCACAAUUGAACCCCCUCCCAAUUAUUCCCCAAUACUGCGUGGGUCGUUCCAUUAUGCUCCAUCCAUGACUGUUGCAAAGCAUGUCAAACCCAAACGGCCCAACCUAUGAGAUCCUCUACCUCAUUAAAGCCUAAUCCAAUUGACCGAGAAGCCUAAAAAUGGAGAAAUUUUUGCGAGAAAAUUGUUGUGAAGCUGGUGUUGAUUAUAGAAAGUCAAAAGCAUGCAUUCAGUUUAUUUUUAGUCUUUCAAAUAAAUAAUGGUCGGCCGAGUUUGGGUGACUGAAGCUGGUCGGCAUAAGCAUGGUUUACAAAUAUUUCCCCAACCAUACGUUUGUAUGCCCUAUUUGCUAGUGUUGGAACAGGUGGUUGAUACAAUUAAGGUUGCUAAUUACUCUGAUUUUUCUCUUAAAUUCACAUACUUGAAUAGGAGUUACCUAAGUAAAGCAAGCUUUCACGAAGCUCAGGAUAUGAUUUGUCACCAGGGUCAUUCGGAAGUUACUGUCAGAUUAAGUUCCUGAAAGCCUAACGGUUGGAGUGCCGUUGGCUGCAGCUAAUUUGCUAGUGAUCAAACAAUUGGGAAACCUAUCAUGAAAGUAAGGCGGAUAUCAUAUACAAGUGCAUUUGAAUAAGCUUUGCUUAAUUUUUCAGUAAGAAUAGCGGAGCAUAAAAAGAAGGUAUCAAUAAGAAUAGUCAUGUCAGCAUACCUAAAUAAAAGUCACAUUGCAGUUUUCAAAAUUCCGGCAAUAUGAAUAUUACGAAGGAUCAAUGUAAAACAAGUCAGAUACAAGCUUAUAAGCUUAUAUCUUGCAUUUGGUUUAACAGGCUUAUAAGCUUUGCCUAAUUUAUCAGUAAGGAAAAAAAGGGUAUUGUAUCAGUAGGAAUAGUCAUGGCAGGAUACCUAAAUAUAUAUCAAAUACCUGACAGGUUUCUGUUUCCAAUGGCUUUUGUUGAAAAUGGUUACAAGCUUGUCACAUUGCAGUUUUCAAAAUUC
Long non-coding RNA from Rhododendron vialii, 4302 nucleotides. RefSeq lists it as uncharacterized. Lineage: Eukaryota; Viridiplantae; Streptophyta; Magnoliopsida; Ericales; Ericaceae. The transcript has 5 exons. The record is from RefSeq and is a predicted model, not a curated record.